Molecule: ribosomal RNA, 253 nt
Filed under: uncultured bacterium
Lineage: Bacteria
Description: partial 16S ribosomal RNA
Rfam family: Bacterial small subunit ribosomal RNA
Source: RNAcentral
UACGUAGGGUCCGAGCGUUGUCCGGAAUUACUGGGCGUAAAGAGCUCGUAGGUGGUUUGUCGCGUUGUUCGUGAAAACUCACAGCUUAACUGUGGGCGUGCGGGCGAUACGGGCAGACUUGAGUACUGCAGGGGAGACUGGAAUUCCUGGUGUAGCGGUGAAAUGCGCAGAUAUCAGGAGGAACACCGGUGGCGAAGGCGGGUCUCUGGGCCGAUACUGACGCUGAUGCGCGAAAGCGUGGGGAGCGAUCCGG